GGCUCUGUGGUGCAAUGGAGGGCGUGUUGGACUUCUAAAUGUUAAUAGAAUGAAGUCAUUUAAAGGUUGUGGGUUGGAGUCCCCCCAGAGUCA
RNAcentral lists this transfer RNA (93 nucleotides) under Lepisosteus oculatus (spotted gar). It matches the Rfam family "tRNA". From Rfam's summary of the family: Transfer RNA (tRNA) molecules are approximately 80 nucleotides in length. Their secondary structure includes four short double-helical elements and three loops (D, anti-codon, and T loops). Further hydrogen bonds mediate the characteristic L-shaped molecular structure. tRNAs have two regions of fundamental functional importance: the anti-codon, which is responsible for specific mRNA codon recognition, and the 3' end, to which the tRNAs corresponding amino acid is attached (by aminoacyl-tRNA synthetases). tRNAs cope with the degeneracy of the genetic code in two manners: having more than one tRNA (with a specific anti-codon) for a particular amino acid; and 'wobble' base-pairing, i.e. permitting non-standard base-pairing at the 3rd anti-codon position. Lineage: Eukaryota; Metazoa; Chordata; Actinopteri; Semionotiformes; Lepisosteidae. The record is from Rfam by way of RNAcentral.